This 322-nucleotide ribosomal RNA is filed under the name uncultured eukaryote. Its description in RNAcentral is "partial 18S ribosomal RNA". It matches the Rfam family "Eukaryotic small subunit ribosomal RNA", at positions 1470 to 1796 of the family's 1831-position model. The record is from RNAcentral.
CCCUUAGAUGUUCUGGGCCGCACGCGCGCUACACUGAUGCGUUCAACAAGUUUCCUUGGCCGAGAGGCCUGGGCAAUCUUCUUAAUAUGUAUCGUGAUAGGGAUAGAUUAUUGCAAUUAUUAAUCUUGAACGAGGAAUUCCUAGUAAACGCAGAUCAUCAAUCUGCAUUGAUUACGUCCCUGCCCUUUGUACACACCGCCCGUCGCACCUACCGAUUGGAUGUUCCGGUGAAGCCUCGGGAUGAGGACUGGUGCCUUUAUUGGCAUGAGUUGUUCAGAACUUGUCCAAACCUUAUCAUCUAGAGGAAGGUGAAGUCGUAACA